GAUGAACGCUGGCGGCGUGCCUAAUACAUGCAAGUCGAGCGAACAGACGAGGAGCUUGCUCCUUUGACGUUAGCGGCGGACGGGUGAGUAACACGUAGGUAACCUACCUAUAAGACUGGGAUAACUUCGGGAAACCGGAGCUAAUACCGGAUAAUAUUUCGAACCGCAUGGUUCGAUAGUGAAGGAUGGCUUUGCUAUCACUUAUAGAUGGACCUGCGCCGUAUUAGCUAGUUGGUAAGGUAACGGCUUACCAAGGCAACGAUACGUAGCCGACCUGAGAGGGUGAUCGGCCACACUGGAACUGAGACACGGUCCAGACUCCUACGGGAGGCAGCAGUAGGGAAUCUUCCGCAAUGGGCGAAAGCCUGACGGAGCAACGCCGCGUGAGUGAUGAAGGUCUUCGGAUCGUAAAACUCUGUUAUUAGGGAAGAACAAACGUGUAAGUAACUGUGCACGUCUUGACGGUACCUAAUCAGAAAGCCACGGCUAACUACGUG
Molecule: ribosomal RNA, 497 nt
Filed under: uncultured bacterium
Lineage: Bacteria
Description: partial 16S ribosomal RNA
Rfam family: Bacterial small subunit ribosomal RNA
Source: RNAcentral